Long non-coding RNA from Strigops habroptila (Kakapo), 1504 nucleotides. RefSeq lists it as uncharacterized. The record is from RefSeq and is a predicted model, not a curated record. NCBI's taxonomy places the organism in Eukaryota, Metazoa, Chordata, Aves, Psittaciformes, Psittacidae. The transcript is spliced from 6 exons.
UAACCAUGUAGCUUUAGAAACCAUGGAAUUUCUCAUGCAUAGAUACAUCCCAUAUAGGGUUGUUCUUGUUUGCAGUCAAGCAGUAACAAUUAUCCCAGCACAUUUUUGAAUAUUUAAAAGAAAAUAGUAUUUAGACUAAAAGCCAUUAUUUAUAGUAGCUUUUAAAAGUGAAGUGUUAAGGAAGUUGAAAUUAUGUUGUUUUCAUCCAGGUGAUUGAAAGUUUGGAAAGCUCAUGUCAGUGAAAACAAAUGAGUGUGCCAAAGACAGACAUACUGAGCAUAAGAGAUGUUCUACCCAGAUUUGUCAAUCAGCCAGUCAAAAUCUUGGAAAAAAGACUUGGAAAAAAUUUAUCAUUCACCAAGUGCUCAGCUUCUAACCCUAUCUCUUUCUCAGGCCUGUCCUGCACACUCCUGGUCUUCUCCUUGUAUGUGAACAUAGGCUGUCUUUUCGUGCAUACUUCCCCUGCCUGCCUCAUUUCCCAGGUGCACAUAUGCCCCUGAAAGCAGAGGCAAAGCUUUUAAUAGAGUCUGCAUAGGCCAUUGUGUUAUCUGUUAUUCCAAGUGGAUAACUAAUUUAUUUUUUUAAAAGUGGAUAGUUCCAGACAUAAUGACAUAACAAUUAACAAUAAAUGGCAAAUUCUCUGAAAUCAAAUAACAAUUUGAAACUUUCAUGCAGGAGAAUGAGAGAGGGAGAAUCUGAACUUCCUAUUACCUUUUUCUUCAGGAUUGUCCCCUCAAUGCUGGAACUGCAUUUCCUGGAAGAAUUGAAGAAUGUGAACUUGCUGAUAUCUGAUACACUGGUGUCCUUGCCAAACCAGGCGCUUGCCAAACUUGAAAUGAGUAUCAAAAGAAUUCUGGAUGAGAGUGUGAAAUGAGAACAUGGGCUGUUAAAAUGUACGACAAGGAAAAACCUGGGAGAAGAGUGUGGAAGAUGACUAUUCCUGGCCUGACCAGAAGGUUUACACCAAUGUAUCACUCAUCUCUGUUCUACUGGUGUGGAAAAUCUGAAGUCAUAAAACCGUGUGUGACUAGAGGACACGAGGAUAACACAGCAAGUAAGAAAGGCUGACACGAAGACAGCAGUAUCUGCUCUGUACUAGCUGUGUGUGGCUGAAUGGAGCUGCCUGGAAGGGUGGGAGCAGCAGGAGCUGGAGAAGGAUCAUCACAGCAGAACCACUGAUCCGACCUCGCCUUUUCAGAAGCGCUGAAAGAAGAUGACACAUACAGUGUCCCAGCACAACCAGCUGCAGAGCAUAUUACAAUGUGAAAAACUGCACCAGCGUUUUUCAAUAAGCACCAUUAACUGACUUUGGUAAAGCAUCUAUUGGCACGACCAGCGGGAUCAAAGAACAUGCUGAACUCCUGUCUUGUACAAUAAGAAAGCACAGCUGCCAAUCACCUUGCAACUAGAGUCUUUCUGUUUCAAAGCCUGGUAGGAAUAGCAUGAGAAGGGCUAGAGGAGACAACUGUGCCAGUCCAUUGUCUUUGCUAAUGAUCUUCAGAGC